Long non-coding RNA from Oncorhynchus tshawytscha (Chinook salmon), 498 nucleotides. NCBI's taxonomy places the organism in Eukaryota, Metazoa, Chordata, Actinopteri, Salmoniformes, Salmonidae. The record is from Ensembl.
GUGGGAUAGGGGUGAGGUAUGGGGUGAGACAGGUGAGGUAGAAGGUGAUGUAUAGGGUGAGACAGGUGGGAUAGGGGUGAGGUAUGGGGUGAGACAGGUGAGGUAGAAGGUGAGGUAUGGGGUGAGACAGGUUAGAUAGAAGGUGAGGUAUGGGGUGAGACAGGUGAGGUAGAAGGUGAGGUAUGGGGUGAGACAGGUUAGAUAGAAGGUGAGGUAUGGGGUGAGACAGGUGAGAUAGGGGUGAGACAGGUGGGAUAGGGGGUGAGGUAUGUGGUGAGACAGGUGGGAUAGGGGCUGAGGUAUGGGGUGAGAUAGAAGGUGAGGUAUGGUAUGAGACAGGUGGGAUAGGGGGUGAGGUCUGGGGUGAGAUAGAAGGUGAGGUAUGGGGUGAGACAGGUGGGAUAGAGGGUGAGGUAUGGGGUGAGGUAUAGGGUGAGACAGGUGGGAUAGGGGGUGAGGUAUGGGGUGAGACAGGUGAGAUAGAAGGUGAGGUAUGGG